GUAGGUGGCAAGCGUUGUCCGGAAUUAUUGGGCGUAAAGCGCGCGCAGGCGGUUCUUUAAGUCUGAUGUGAAAGCCCACGGGCUCAACCGUGGAGGGUCAUUGGAAACUGGAGAACUUGAGUACAGAAGAGGAAAGCGGAAUUCCACGUGUAGCGGUGAAAUGCGUAGAGAUGUGGAGGAACACCAGUGGCGAAGGCGGCUUUCUGGUCUGUAACUGACGCUGUGGCGCGAAAGCGUGGGGAGCAAACAGGAUUAGAUACCCUGGUAGUCCACGCCGUAAACGAUGAGUGCUAAGUGUUAGGGGGUUUCCGCCCCUUAGUGCUGCAGCUAACGCAUUAAGCACUCCGCCUGGGGAGUACGGCCGCAAGGCUG
RNAcentral lists this ribosomal RNA (372 nucleotides) under uncultured organism. RNAcentral describes it as "partial 16S ribosomal RNA". It matches the Rfam family "Bacterial small subunit ribosomal RNA", at positions 527 to 896 of the family's 1533-position model. The record is from RNAcentral.